Oncorhynchus mykiss (rainbow trout) is the source of this 1794-nucleotide non-coding RNA. Lineage: Eukaryota; Metazoa; Chordata; Actinopteri; Salmoniformes; Salmonidae. The record is from RefSeq and is a predicted model, not a curated record.
AUUUGAACAUCUUGGCCAUGUUCUGUUAUAAUCUCUACCCGGCACAGCCAGAAGAGGACUGGCCACCCCACAUAGCCUGGAGAUGUCAAAUAGCCCCUCCCAACUGCAUCAAACACCAGAUAUGCAGUUCCAAAAGGACCCAAUGACAUUUCAAGAUCCAGAGAAGAGGGUCCUGUACAGUCGUGUUUAAAAACAUUUCCCAGAACUCAGCAUGGUAAUAGGAAAAGGGCUUUCAACAGCUCCUGAUGAUGUAAGGACAAUUCAUGGCUUGAAUAUUCUGUAAAUCAAGAUUCGACUUAAUGUUGCGCCAGUGGGCACUUUUCUCUGCCCAAUACACAUCACAGUCAGGUUUUUGUAACUGGAAAAAGGCGUUGUUUAAAGAUUCUGGGUUUAAGCUCCAUUCGAAGGCAGAGCAUUAUGCUAUGUAUGCUUGGAAUCAGCAUAAAAUGGCUAUUGACAGAAACUCAUCAAUGAAUGUCAAUGUCAUGAAUGAGGACCAGAAAAAGAAAGUGGAGGUAAACUGUACUUACAUUAAAACAAUUGCAGAUGUGCUCCUAUUAACUGCCACUCAAAAUAUACCAUAGAGAGGUCAUCGAGAGUCUGAUGACUCUUUGAUGACUCACAACCAGGGUCAUUUUUUAACAAUCUUCCUCUCAUAGAGAAAAGGAUGAAUGCAUGGGGCCUUAUUUCUCAGAUUUACAUGUCAUAGGGCUUUUGGUUACCUUUUGUAAAGUGCUUGGUGAUGCCAAAUGUCUUUCUGACAUGCUCCAAUCAAGCUCUCUUAACCUAGCAAGGUCUGUGGAUCUAGUAGGUGCCCUUACAGACACAUUACAGGACUACAGCAGUGAGGGUUACUUUUGAGAACUAUGGAAAGAGGUUGAAGAGAUUGCAGAGCACUGAAAAAUAAGUGUACAAACAGUGUGUAAAAGACAGCCUAAAACAAGCUUAAGAUUUCACGACUCGUUGAGGAUGAGCACUGUAGACCAGAAAAAUAGUCACCAAAAUGAUGGUGAGAGCUUCCAAAGAGCUAUCCUUUAUCAGGUGCUUGACAGUCUCACAGCUGAGCUGCAGAGGUGUUUUUCAAAGAAUUGAGAGAUAAUGCAAGGGAUCCAGUCUCUUAAAACCCAAAGAGCACAACAUUCUUGAAUGAGGAGCCUCUGUAUGCCUUUGCUCAGAACUUUGAGUCUGAUUUAGAGGACCGCAAACAUGAGGUUCAUCAAACCAAGAGGCUUCUUGAUAGGAGAGAGAAAAGUGAAAGGGACAGACUGUCUACUCUCCCUGACUUUGUUGUGUUUCUAGAACCUUAUAAAGAGGUCUUCCAUGAGCUAUUUUGACUUUGUAAGAUUUCUGUUGUUACACCAAUCAGCAGUGCUUCUUGCGAGAGAAGCUUCUCAGCUUUAAAACAGAUUAAAACCCACCUUAGGACAACAAUGGUUGAUGACAGGUUAAGUCAAGGAGGGCAUGCUCCCUCGACAUGGAUGAGUUUGAAACAUUUAGCCAGUUCUCACCAGAUCUGCAGAAUUGUGCUGUUUUAAAUCUACCUAGGAUAAUUUGGCACUUAGGUUGUCCCUCUGGUCAUGAUUAAAACCUGCACUGUGUACUAACGUUUCUUUGCUAUUAGUUAACAUAAUAUAUAUGAGAAUAAAUAUAAUAGUCUUUGUAAUAUUGAUGGGUACCAAAAUAAAUAAAAAAUUCAAGUCCAUUUCUGCUUGAUACCUUGUAUGUCAAAUUGCAGUGUUUAUUUUUGGUAAAUUACAUUUUUUUGUAAAUAAACUAUGCAAUUUAUGUAACACA